GUCCUUGUUCUAUACCCGUAGUAUCCCUGGUAAAUCCUUUUGUUUUCACUUGGUCAGAAUGUUUAUGAUUAGGAACGAUGUGCACUGCUCAAUGACUCUGGGUCGACUGUCCUCUUUUAUGCUCUGCUAGCUUAAUUUAUGGGGGAUUCAUUUGCGGCCGAACAAUCGUGAGAGUUCACGAGCACUGCGUGGCCCGCCUCUCUCUCUUCCGACCUUCGUAGAUGCGAUCACCCAAAAAAAUAUAACCUAUUUUCUGUGCGAUCUCUCUGCUCCUCGUAGCUCCGAAAUAUGUACCCUGUCUGCCCUGUGGGCCCUGAGAACCUCGUGUGUGCUCACUACCGCAUGCCUCUCACUGGCACGUAUAAGUGCCUUGAAAACUGGGCAUUUUCCCGUACAGUGUGUAAACCGGAAACAACAAAAC
RNAcentral lists this long non-coding RNA (421 nucleotides) under Drosophila guanche. The record is from RNAcentral. Lineage: Eukaryota; Metazoa; Arthropoda; Insecta; Diptera; Drosophilidae.